AGUGAACGCUGGCGGUAGGCCUAACACAUGCAAGUCGAACGGCAGCACAGUAAGAGCUUGCUCUUACGGGUGGCGAGUGGCGGACGGGUGAGGAAUACAUCGGAAUCUACUUUUUCGUGGGGGAUAACGUGGGGAAACUUACGCUAAUACCGCAUACGACCUACGGGUGAAAGCAGGGGAUCUUCGGACCUUGCGCGAUUGAAUGAGCCGAUGUCGGAUUAGCUAGUUGGCGGGGUAAAGGCCCACCAAGGCGACGAUCCGUAGCUGGUCUGAGAGGAUGAUCAGCCACACUGGAACUGAGACACGGUCCAGACUCCUACGGGAGGCAGCAGUGGGGAAUAUUGGACAAUGGGCGCAAGCCUGAUCCAGCCAUACCGCGUGGGUGAAGAAGGCCUUCGGGUUGUAAAGCCCUUUUGUUGGGAAAGAAAAGCAGCAGGUUAAUACCCCGCUGUUCUGGCGGUACCCAAAGAAUAAGCACCGGCUAACUUCGUG
Molecule: ribosomal RNA, 492 nt
Filed under: uncultured bacterium
Lineage: Bacteria
Description: partial 16S ribosomal RNA
Rfam family: Bacterial small subunit ribosomal RNA
Source: RNAcentral